UCCAUGUCAUUCUAAUUCUUUUUGCUGGUCAAUGACAGGAAGCUGAAGAAGACAGGUCAAAGUUAAUGGGUUCCUAACCAGCUCAAGACUCUGAAUUCAUCUGAAGGAAACACUUUCCACCAGUUCCAGCACAUCGCAUACUGUGGUCUUUCCAUGCAAAAUGGUGAGAAGAAAGAUAAAUGUAUGUCAAUAAGCAUGGACACUAUUUUGCAAGCAUUUGCUUAAAAAAUGGAGACUAAAAAGGGAUACUUUGAUGGAUACUGGUUUUUGGAGUUGGACUUCUGCAUAUUUUGGCAGCAAAUGCUCGCAGUCUAUUCUAUCAAGAUGACCACUGUUGAGAGCUGUCUCCACAAAUGUACUUCCUCACCCCUCACCAAGAGCCACGGGACCCUCUCUCUAACUUACUGAUCAUCAAUAAGGCAGGUGAAAACGCUGCUGCUGUCAGUUUCCAAAUUUUCACGCUGUUAAAACAUUCCUUAGAAAACACAAGCAUUGGGGGCUGGGAAUUUAGCUCAGCGGCAUAAGCACCUGCCUUGCAAGCAGGCAGUCAUGAUGAGUUCGAUCCCUGGUACCGGUAAAAAGCGAAAAAGACAAAAGAAAAAAAAAAGAAAGAAAACAAAAGCUUUAAGAAAAAAAUGAACAUGUUUUACAGACAUAUCAUGAAGUUGAAAGAUAAGGAAAAUAAUCCUAAAUUGGAAGACAAAUGCUGAAACAGGU
This 717-nucleotide long non-coding RNA is filed under the name Cavia porcellus (domestic guinea pig). RNAcentral describes it as "lncRNA (ENSCPOG00000040244.1)". The record is from RNAcentral. Lineage: Eukaryota; Metazoa; Chordata; Mammalia; Rodentia; Caviidae.